Molecule: ribosomal RNA, 637 nt
Filed under: uncultured bacterium
Lineage: Bacteria
Description: bacterial SSU rRNA
Rfam family: Bacterial small subunit ribosomal RNA
Source: RNAcentral
AGCCGGUCUGAGAGGAUGAACGGCCACAUUGGGACUGAGACACGGCCCAGACUCCUACGGGAGGCAGCAGUGGGGAAUCUUCCGCAAUGGACGAAAGUCUGACGGAGCAACGCCGCGUGAGUGAUGACGGCCUUCGGGUUGUAAAGCUCUGUUAAUCGGGACGAAAGGUCUUCUUGCGAAUAGUUAGAAGAAUUGACGGUACCGGAAUAGAAAGCCACGGCUAACUACGUGCCAGCAGCCGCGGUAAUACGGAAGGUCCAGGCGUUAUCCGGAUUUAUUGGGUUUAAAGGGAGCGUAGGCUGGAGAUUAAGUGUGUUGUGAAAUGUAGACGCUCAACGUCUGAAUUGCAGCGCAUACUGGUUUCCUUGAGUACGCACAACGUUGGCGGAAUUCGUCGUGUAGCGGUGAAAUGCUUAGAUAUGACGAAGAACUCCGAUUGCGAAGGCAGCUGACGGGAGCGCAACUGACGCUUAAGCUCGAAGGUGCGGGUAUCAAACAGGAUUAGAUACCCUGGUAGUCCGCACAGUAAACGAUGGAUGCCCGCUGUUGGUACCUGGUAUCAGCGGCUAAGCGAAAGCAUUAAGCAUCCCACCUGGGGAGUACGCCGGCAACGGUGAAACUCAAAGGAAUUGACGGC